Molecule: unclassified non-coding RNA, 236 nt
Filed under: Ambisporaceae sp.
Lineage: Eukaryota; Fungi; Glomeromycota; Glomeromycetes; Archaeosporales; Ambisporaceae
Description: partial contains 5.8S ribosomal RNA and internal transcribed spacer 2
Rfam family: 5.8S ribosomal RNA (bases 1-71)
Source: RNAcentral
GUGAAUCAUCGAAUCUUUGAACGCAUAUUGCACUCUCUGGUAUUCCGGAGAGUAUGCCUAUUUGAGGGUCAUUUGAAAUAAUAUAAAUUCCAAGAUUUCUCGGAAUUUAAAAUUGGGUGUCCCAUUUUUGUGGUCGCCUAAAAUCCAAGACAAGGUCAUCUUCUUUGGGUGCGUGAUACUUUCAGUUAACUUGUUACUUAACCAAGAAUCAUCGGGCGGGUUAUUAAUUUUUCCAG